AACUUUCGGCAACGGAUCACUUGGUUCUGGCAUCGAUGAAGAACGCAGCGAAAUGCGAUAAGUAAUGUGAAUUGGAGAAUUCAGUGAAUCAUCGAAUCUUUGAACGCACAUUGCGCCCAUUAGCAUUCUAGUGGGCAUGCCUGUUCGAGCGUCAUUUCAACCCUUAAGCCCUGUUGCUUAGCGUUGGGAGCCUACAGCACUGUAGCUCCCCAAAGUUAGUGGCGGAGUCGGUCUCACACUCUAGACGUAGUAAAUCUAUCUCGUCUGUAGUUGGGCCGGUCCCCUGCCGUAAAACACCCCAUUUCUAAAGGUUGACCUCGGAUCAGGUAGGAAUACCCGCUGAACUUAAGCAUAUCAAUAAGCGGAGGCU
RNAcentral lists this unclassified non-coding RNA (370 nucleotides) under uncultured Xylaria. Its description in RNAcentral is "sequence contains ITS2". The stretch from base 1 to 154 matches the Rfam family "5.8S ribosomal RNA". Lineage: Eukaryota; Fungi; Ascomycota; Sordariomycetes; Xylariales; Xylariaceae. The record is from RNAcentral.